RNAcentral lists this long non-coding RNA (682 nucleotides) under Parus major (Great Tit). RNAcentral's name for it is "lncRNA (ENSPMJG00000002114.1)". Lineage: Eukaryota; Metazoa; Chordata; Aves; Passeriformes; Paridae. The record is from RNAcentral.
GGUCCCAGUCUCGAACUGGUGUCACUGGGAGAGCCCCAGUCCCAAACUGGGAGGGUCUGAGGUUCAAACUGGGAGCACUGGGAGGGUCCCAGUCCCAAACUGGGAGGGUCCAAGGCUCAAACUGGGAGCACUGGGAGGGUCCCAGUCCCAAACUGGGAGCACUGGGAAGGUCUCAGUCCCAAACUGGGAGCGUCCCAGUCCCAAACUGGGAGCACUGGAGGGUCCCAAUCCCAGACUGGGAGCACUGGGAGGGUCCCAGUCCCAGACUGGUGUCACUGGGGUGUCACUGGGAGGGUCCCAGUCUCAAACUGGGAGGGUGCCAGGUUCAAACUGGGAGCACUGGGAGGGUUCCAGUCCCAAACUGGGAGGGUCCAAGGUUCAAACUGGGAGAGUCCCAGUCCCAGACUGGUGUCACAGGGGUGUCACUGGUGUCACUGGUCCGUUACUGGUGUCACUGGUGCUGUCCCUGGCUCUGUCCAUGGCUCUGUUACUGGUGUUACUGGUGUCACUGGUGUGUCACUGGUGUUACUGGUGUUACUGGUGUCACUGGUCCGUUACUGGUGUCACUGGUGCUGUCCCUGUCCCUAUCCCUGUCCCUGGUGUCAACUGGUGUCACUGGUGUCACUGGUCCGUUACUGGUGUCACUGGUGCUGUCCCUGGCUCUGUCCAUGGCUCUGUUACU